RNAcentral lists this transfer RNA (70 nucleotides) under Felis catus (domestic cat). It matches the Rfam family "tRNA", at positions 8 to 63 of the family's 71-position model. From Rfam's summary of the family: Transfer RNA (tRNA) molecules are approximately 80 nucleotides in length. Their secondary structure includes four short double-helical elements and three loops (D, anti-codon, and T loops). RNAcentral also lists the same sequence under 5 other names. Lineage: Eukaryota; Metazoa; Chordata; Mammalia; Carnivora; Felidae. The record is from Rfam by way of RNAcentral.
UGGCUCAAUUGGUUGAGUGUCUGAUUUUGGCUCAGGUCAUGAUCACAAGGUUCGUGGGUUCAAACCCCAC